GAUGAACGCUGGCGGCGUGCCUAACACAUGCAAGUCGAGCGAUUCUCUUCGGAGAAGAGCGGCGGACGGGUGAGUAACGCGUGGGUAACCUGCCCUGUACACACGGAUAACAUACCGAAAGGUAUGCUAAUACGAGAUAAUAUACUUUUAUCGCAUGAUAGAAGUAUCAAAGCUUUUGCGGUACAGGAUGGACCCGCGUCUGAUUAGCUAGUUGGUAAGGUAACGGCUUACCAAGGCGACGAUCAGUAGCCGACCUGAGAGGGUGAUCGGCCACAUUGGAACUGAGACACGGUCCAAACUCCUACGGGAGGCAGCAGUGGGGAAUAUUGCACAAUGGGCGAAAGCCUGAUGCAGCAACGCCGCGUGAGCGAAGAAGGCCUUCGGGUCGUAAAGCUCUGUCCUCAAGGAAGAUAAUGACGGUACUUGAGGAGGAAGCCCCGGCUAACUACGUGCCAGCCGCCGCCGUAA
This 468-nucleotide ribosomal RNA is filed under the name uncultured bacterium. Its description in RNAcentral is "partial 16S ribosomal RNA". It matches the Rfam family "Bacterial small subunit ribosomal RNA", at positions 28 to 523 of the family's 1533-position model. The record is from RNAcentral.